UUUUCCUCUGUUUGCCGAAAAGGAGAUUCCUGGUCGGAAUAUUAUCGCUUUUUUACGAGAUAAAUUGCAUAAAAAUUGAUUUUAAACAGCGGUUGACAUGCUUCGAAGUACGGUAAUGGAAUAUUUAGACAUUUUUUGUCACGAAUUGCGCCAUGCGCACGACCCUGAUUGACCAUUUCGGAUAGUGUCUGGGACGCACGAACAAAACGCCGCUAUUCGGAUAUAACGAUGGAUUAUUUUGGACCAAACCAACAUUUGUUAUUGAAGUAGCAGUCCUGGGAGUGCAUUCUGACGAAGACAACAAAAGAGGCAAACCUAACACCUCACCAGCUGUGGCAUAUCGGAAUGCUCCAAACACCUGUGCACAUUUUUGUUUUUGCCACUACACAUCUGAUUCAACUGAUCAAGUCAUCAUCAAGCAUCAUGUGGUUAAUAUCAGCUGUGUUGGUGAACCCCUCCCGCAUCUGAACUGGCUGACACAGAGGGCACAGUGUGAUCAUAGUAGGUAUGUUUUGAUAUGAGAGAGGAAGCCAGUCCCAUCAUUGCCACCUCACCCGCUCUUAACAUAACCUUCGGGCCAACUGGGGGCCCAAGGCUGGUUAGGAGACACCACUAGAGACACUGUAAUUGUGAUGAACUGAGAGAAUAUUAGCGUAGCACUGUAAUUCAUUAAUUAUAUGCUGUCUGCCUCUUUUCUUCACUCUUUCCCUUUCUGUCUUCUACACCUGUUUCCCCACCUCGUCUUUCUUCCUCGUUUUAUAAUGCACACCAUAUGUGCAUUGAAGUAUAGAUUGAACUUGUAUUUAUAAUACCGAAAACACUCACAAACUUUUACAGAUGAACAAUCGAGAGCAUCCUAUUGGGCUGUAUCUCCGACUGGUAUGAAAACUGCUCCGCCCACAACCGUAAGGCUCUCCAGAGGGUAGUGAGGUCUGCACAACGCAUCAUCGGGGGCAAACUACCUGCCCUUCAGGACACCUACACCACCCGAUGUCACAGGAAGGCAAAAAGAUCAUCAAGGACAACAACCACCUGAGCCUGUUCACCCCGCUAUCAUCCAGAAUGCGAGGUCACUACAGGUGCAUCAAAGCUGGGACUAAGAGACUGAAAAACAGCUUCUAUCUCAAGCCCAUCAGACUGUUAAACAGCCAUCACUAACAUUGGGUGGCUGCUGCCAACAUACUGACUCAAAUCUCUAACCACUUUAAUAAUUACAAAUUGGAUGUAAUAAAUGGAUCACUAGUCACUUUAAACAAUGCCACUUUAUUUAAUGUUUACAUACCCUACAUUACUCAUCUCAUAUGCAUACACUGUACUCUAUACCAUCUACUGCAUCUUGCCUAUGCCGCAUGGCCAUCGCUCAUCCAUAUAUUUAUAUGUACAUAUUCUUAUUAAUUCCUUUACACUUGUGUGUAUAAGGUAGUUGUUUUGAAAUUGUUAGAUUACUUGUUAGAUAUUACUGCACGGUCGGAGCUAGAAGCAAAAGCAUUUUGCUACACUCACAUUAACAUCUGCUAACCAUGUGUAUGUGACCAAUCAAAUUUGCUUUGAUUUGAUUUGAUAUAAUAUUACAAUUAUCGUAAUUACAAUGCAUGCUCU
Molecule: long non-coding RNA, 1599 nt
Filed under: Salmo salar (Atlantic salmon)
Lineage: Eukaryota; Metazoa; Chordata; Actinopteri; Salmoniformes; Salmonidae
Description: lncRNA (ENSSSAG00000100711.1)
Source: RNAcentral